This 253-nucleotide ribosomal RNA is filed under the name uncultured bacterium. RNAcentral describes it as "partial 16S ribosomal RNA". It matches the Rfam family "Bacterial small subunit ribosomal RNA", at positions 524 to 776 of the family's 1533-position model. The record is from RNAcentral.
UACGUAGGGGGCGAGCGUUAUCCGGAGUUACUGGGCGUAAAGCGCUUGUAGGCGGCUUCGUAAGUUGGGCGUGAAAGCUCCGGGCUUAACCCGGAGAGGGCGUUCAAUACUGGGGAGCUCGAGGUUGACAGGGGAAGGUGGAAGUCCUGGUGUAGCGGUGAAAUGCGUAGAUAUCAGGAGGAACACCCGUGGCGAAGGCGGCUUUCUAGGGCUUUCCUGACGCUGAGACGCGAAAGCUAGGUGAGCAAACAGG